UUGUGAACCAAUGGAGGGAUUCUUCUGUACAAACUUUACAUCAGGAGGUUGUGUUGUAGCACAGAAACACAGGAGCUGUGAACCAGGACAUUACAUCAGCAGGAAUGGAACAGCCUCCACAGACACAGAAUGCUCUGAAUGCAGCAGAGAAUCAUUUUCUAAUGGAACAAUGUUGUCAUGUCAGCCUCACACACGAUGUGAAAAAGAAAACCUCCAGCUGAUAAAAGCAGGAACAACUUCAACUGAUGCUGAAUGUGGAGAAAAAAGUUCCAACAUCACAGGAAUUGUGAUCGGUGUUGUGAUGGUUCUAUUAGUUGUACCAAUAAUUGUUGUUGUUUUUUUCUGGAAAACUAAAAAGAUUGCAAUACCAA
Molecule: long non-coding RNA, 371 nt
Organism: Gambusia affinis (western mosquitofish)
Lineage: Eukaryota; Metazoa; Chordata; Actinopteri; Cyprinodontiformes; Poeciliidae
Exons: 3
Source: RefSeq, a predicted model, not a curated record